GGCCGGAUGGUGUAGUUGGUUAUCACGUAUCGUUAACACCGAUAAGGUCUUGGGAUCGAGCCCCAGUCUGGUCA
This 74-nucleotide transfer RNA is filed under the name Aspergillus uvarum CBS 121591. RNAcentral describes it as "tRNA-Val". The record is from RNAcentral. Lineage: Eukaryota; Fungi; Ascomycota; Eurotiomycetes; Eurotiales; Aspergillaceae.